GACGAACGCUGGCGGCGUGCCUAAUACAUGCAAGUAGAACGCUGAAGAGAGGAGCUUGCUCUUCUUGGAUGAGUUGCGAACGGGUGAGUAACGCGUAGGUAACCUGCCUGGUAGCGGGGGAUAACUAUUGGAAACGAUAGCUAAUACCGCAUGAUAUUAAUUGUUGCAUGAUAAUUAAUUGAAAGAUGCAAUUGCAUCACUACCAGAUGGACCUGCGUUGUAUUAGCUAGUUGGUGAGGUAACGGCUCACCAAGGCGACGAUACAUAGCCGACCUGAGAGGGUGAUCGGCCACACUGGGACUGAGACACGGCCCAGACUCCUACGGGAGGCAGCAGUAGGGAAUCUUCGGCAAUGGGGGGAACCCUGACCGAGCAACGCCGCGUGAGUGAAGAAGGUUUUCGGAUCGUAAAGCUCUGUUGUAAGAGAAGAACGAGUGUGAGAGUGGAAAGUUCACACUGUGACGGUAUCUUACCAGAAAGGGACGGCUAACUACGUGCCAGCAGCCGCGGUAAUACGUAGGUCCCGAGCGUUGUCCGGAUUUAUUGGGCGUAAAGCGAGCGCAGGCGGUUAGAUAAGUCUGAAGUUAAAGGCUGUGGCUUAACCAUAGUAUGCUUUGGAAGCUGUUUAACUUGAGUGCAGAAGGGGAGAGUGGAAUUCCAUGUGUAGCGGUGAAAUGCGUAGAUAUAUGGAGGAACACCGGUGGCGAAAGCGGCUCUCUGGUCUGUAACUGACGCUGAGGCUCGAAAGCGUGGGGAGCAAACAGGAUUAGAUAUCCUGGUAGUCCACGCCGUAAACGAUGAGUGCUAGGUGUUAGGCCCUUUCCGGGGCUUAGUGCCGCAGCUAACGCAUUAAGCACUCCGCCUGGAGAGUACGACCGCAAGGUUGAAACUCAAAGGAAUUGACGGGGGCCCGCACAAGCGGUGGAGCAUGUGGCUUAAUUCGAAGCAACGCGAAGAACCUUACCAGGUCUUGACAUCCCUCUGACCGCUCUAGAGAUAGAGUUUUCCUUCGGGACAGAGGUGACAGGUGGUGCAUGGUUGUCGUCAGCUCGUGUCGUGAGAUGUUGGGUUAAGUCCCGCAACGAGCGCAACCCCUAUUGUUAGUUGCCAUCAUUGAGUUGGGCACUCUAGCGAGACUGCCGGUAAUAAACCGGAGGAAGGUGGGGAUGACGUCAAAUCAUCAUGCCCCUUAUGACCUGGGCUACACAUGUGCUACAAUGGCUGGUACAACGAGUCGCAAGCCGGUGACGGCAAGCUAAUCUCUGAAAGCCAGUCUCAGUUCGGAUUGUAGGCUGCAACUCGCCUACAUGAAGUCGGAAUCGCUAGUAAUCGCGGAUCAGCACGCCGCGGUGAAUACGUUCCCGGGCCU
Molecule: ribosomal RNA, 1369 nt
Filed under: uncultured bacterium
Lineage: Bacteria
Description: bacterial SSU rRNA
Rfam family: Bacterial small subunit ribosomal RNA
Source: RNAcentral